RNAcentral lists this long non-coding RNA (1247 nucleotides) under Falco tinnunculus (common kestrel). Its description in RNAcentral is "lncRNA (ENSFTIG00000006350.1)". Lineage: Eukaryota; Metazoa; Chordata; Aves; Falconiformes; Falconidae. The record is from RNAcentral.
UGGAGAACCCCAGCCCUAGCCAGGCUGGAGGAGGCACACGGUGCCUGCACGGGACCACCUGCAAAGCUGCCACCACUUCCAGCCACACAUUCACCACCCUGCAGGCUGCUGCCUGCUGAGCGCUUGCUUGUUUUCUUAGAAGCAAGAGCAGCACACGUGGAGCUACUGAGGGACGGGAAGUGGCUAACCAGCACCGAGGCAACUGCACAGGCCUCCUGCCUACAUCUUUUCCUUCAAGUUCAGCUGCAAAGCCAGGUUUUCUGGAGAUCAUGGUGGUUAUUGCUCCAGCAGUGGGUCCCAUACACUUUUUUCACAGGGUCUUCAGCAAGCCCCUUCCUCCAGGCUGGUGGCAUUCAGUUCCGGCUGCAAUGCCAGCUUGCAGAGGAGCAGAUCUCCUGGCGUGUCGGGGACCUGAACAGCCAGGAGAAUCUGCAGGAAGAAGGGAUGGGGUGCCUUUGGCUGGCUGGAGGCAUCCCCCCAGGCUUGUGGGGAGGCAGGACAAACGUGAGAAUGUCAGGGCUUCUGGCUGUGUUGGAGGCUGGGGGAGCUGGACAUGCUCCCUCAGCCUACCCAGGCUUGAUGUUCCUUGAGGAAGUUGCUCCCACCUGGAGGGAUCUCUGUGGAAGUAAGAAGAGUUACCAAAGUUCCCCUAAAAAAAUUCUAGGUUUCAUUUCCUUCAUCACACCCUGCUGACCAGGUCAGCUUGGAGAAAGGCAUACAAGGCGAGGUAUUCCUCCACCAAAACACCACAACAAGGAGCUGCUGCUCUCGCUGAGCUUAAAACACAGUAGGAGGAAGGGCUCAGUUUCUAACUGCAGAAAGAUUUAGAUCAGAACCUCAGUCGUCCCACCAAAAGUUCUCCUUCAUCCCCAUGUGACUGUGGCUUUUUGGUCCUCUCCAGACUGCUGAGCGCCGGCAGCUCCAGCUGGUGCGAUCCCCUCCAGCAGCCAGGACACUGGUGUGGUGCUGCCCGGGGCUGCGUGCGCGGGGCAUCUGUGGCACACUGCUUCAGAGAGGGACCACAUCCUUCUGCGGGAGGGAAGUCCCUGGCUGCCCAGACAGUCUGGCCGUGGUAAUGCAACAGCCUGUAUCUAUUUUGGGAGAUAAACUAAUGCUGGGGAUGCCGUCUGCUGCUGCCUUUUUUUCUCAACAAGCCCUCUCAUGUUUUUGGGGGGGACCUUUCCACAUUUAUGGGAAAGGGAGAAGCGGAGCCCUUGCAGGUCCUGACUUACAAGCCUAUUUUCCAG